GAACGCAUCUUGCGCUCCUUGGUAUUCCGAGGAGCAUGCCUGUUUGAGUGUCGUCAAUAUCUCAACCGCACCAUUGGGGUGUGGCUUGGAUUUGGGGGUUAUGCAGGCUCUGGCUUGUAGUCUGCUCCCCUGAAAUGCAUGAGUGGUUGAACCCUCUGUUAGGUGUGAUAAUUAUCUGCGUCUGAUGGAAAGGUCAUGGCUGCUUAUAUGUCGUCGGAUUUGAUAAACUUGACCUCAAAUCAGGUAGGACCACCCGCUGAACUUA
Molecule: unclassified non-coding RNA, 265 nt
Filed under: uncultured Inocybe
Lineage: Eukaryota; Fungi; Basidiomycota; Agaricomycetes; Agaricales; Cortinariaceae
Description: sequence contains 5.8S rRNA gene
Rfam family: 5.8S ribosomal RNA (bases 1-53)
Source: RNAcentral